GGUUAAGCGACUAAGCGUACACGGUGGAUGCCCUGGCAGUCAGAGGCGAUGAAGGACGUGCUAAUCUGCGAUAAGCGUCGGUAAGGUGAUAUGAACCGUUAUAACCGGCGAUUUCCGAAUGGGGAAACCCAGUGUGUUUCGACACACUAUCAUUAACUGAAUCCAUAGGUUAAUGAGGCGAACCGGGGGAACUGAAACAUCUAAGUACCCCGAGGAAAAGAAAUCAACCGAGAUUCCCCCAGUAGCGGCGAGCGAACGGGGAGCAGCCCAGAGCCUGAAUCAGUGUGUGUGUUAGUGGAAGCGUCUGGAAAGGCGCGCGAUACAGGGUGACAGCCCCGUACACAAAAAUGCACAUACUGUGAGCUCGAUGAGUAGGGCGGGACACGUGGUAUCCUGUCUGAAUAUGGGGGGACCAUCCUCCAAGGCUAAAUACUCCUGACUGACCGAUAGUGAACCAGUACCGUGAGGGAAAGGCGAAAAGAACCCCGGCGAGGGGAGUGAAAAAGAACCUGAAACCGUGUACGUACAAGCAGUGGGAGCACAGAGCAAUCUGUGUGACUGCGUACCUUUUGUAUAAUGGGUCAGCGACUUAUAUUCUGUAGCAAGGUUAACCGAAUAGGGGAGCCGAAGGGAAACCGAGUCUUAACUGGGCGUUAAGUUGCAGGGUAUAGACCCGAAACCCGGUGAUCUAGCCAUGGGCAGGUUGAAGGUUGGGUAACACUAACUGGAGGACCGAACCGACUAAUGUUGAAAAAUUAGCGGAUGACUUGUGGCUGGGGGUGAAAGGCCAAUCAAACCGGGAGAUAGCUGGUUCUCCCCGAAAGCUAUUUAGGUAGCGCCUCGUGAAUUCAUCUCCGGGGGUAGAGCACUGUUUCGGCAAGGGGGUCAUCCCGACUUACCAACCCGAUGCAAACUGCGAAUACCGGAGAAUGUUAUCACGGGAGACACACGGCGGGUGCUAACGUCCGUCGUGAAGAGGGAAACAACCCAGACCGCCAGCUAAGGUCCCAAAGUCAUGGUUAAGUGGGAAACGAUGUGGGAAGGCCCAGACAGCCAGGAUGUUGGCUUAGAAGCAGCCAUCAUUUAAAGAAAGCGUAAUAGCUCACUGGUCGAGUCGGCCUGCGCGGAAGAUGUAACGGGGCUAAACCAUGCACCGAAGCUGCGGCAGCGACGCUUAUGCGUUGUUGGGUAGGGGAGCGUUCUGUAAGCCUGCGAAGGUGUGCUGUGAGGCAUGCUGGAGGUAUCAGAAGUGCGAAUGCUGACAUAAGUAACGAUAAAGCGGGUGAAAAGCCCGCUCGCCGGAAGACCAAGGGUUCCUGUCCAACGUUAAUCGGGGCAGGGUGAGUCGACCCCUAAGGCGAGGCCGAAAGGCGUAGUCGAUGGGAAACAGGUUAAUAUUCCUGUACUUGGUGUUACUGCGAAGGGGGGACGGAGAAGGCUAUGUUGGCCGGGCGACGGUUGUCCCGGUUUAAGCGUGUAGGCUGGUUUUCCAGGCAAAUCCGGAAAAUCAAGGCUGAGGCGUGAUGACGAGGCACUACGGUGCUGAAGCAACAAAUGCCCUGCUUCCAGGAAAAGCCUCUAAGCAUCAGGUAACAUCAAAUCGUACCCCAAACCGACACAGGUGGUCAGGUAGAGAAUACCAAGGCGCUUGAGAGAACUCGGGUGAAGGAACUAGGCAAAAUGGUGCCGUAACUUCGGGAGAAGGCACGCUGAUAUGUAGGUGAAGUCCCUCGCGGAUGGAGCUGAAAUCAGUCGAAGAUACCAGCUGGCUGCAACUGUUUAUUAAAAACACAGCACUGUGCAAACACGAAAGUGGACGUAUACGGUGUGACGCCUGCCCGGUGCCGGAAGGUUAAUUGAUGGGGUUAGCGCAAGCGAAGCUCUUGAUCGAAGCCCCGGUAAACGGCGGCCGUAACUAUAACGGUCCUAAGGUAGCGAAAUUCCUUGUCGGGUAAGUUCCGACCUGCACGAAUGGCGUAAUGAUGGCCAGGCUGUCUCCACCCGAGACUCAGUGAAAUUGAACUCGCUGUGAAGAUGCAGUGUACCCGCGGCAAGACGGAAAGACCCCGUGAACCUUUACUAUAGCUUGACACUGAACAUUGAGCCUUGAUGUGUAGGAUAGGUGGGAGGCUUUGAAGUGUGGACGCCAGUCUGCAUGGAGCCGACCUUGAAAUACCACCCUUUAAUGUUUGAUGUUCUAACGUUGACCCGUAAUCCGGGUUGCGGACAGUGUCUGGUGGGUAGUUUGACUGGGGCGGUCUCCUCCUAAAGAGUAACGGAGGAGCACGAAGGUUGGCUAAUCCUGGUCGGACAUCAGGAGGUUAGUGCAAUGGCAUAAGCCAGCUUGACUGCGAGCGUGACGGCGCGAGCAGGUGCGAAAGCAGGUCAUAGUGAUCCGGUGGUUCUGAAUGGAAGGGCCAUCGCUCAACGGAUAAAAGGUACUCCGGGGAUAACAGGCUGAUACCGCCCAAGAGUUCAUAUCGACGGCGGUGUUUGGCACCUCGAUGUCGGCUCAUCACAUCCUGGGGCUGAAGUAGGUCCCAAGGGUAUGGCUGUUCGCCAUUUAAAGUGGUACGCGAGCUGGGUUUAGAACGUCGUGAGACAGUUCGGUCCCUAUCUGCCGUGGGCGCUGGAGAACUGAGGGGGGCUGCUCCUAGUACGAGAGGACCGGAGUGGACGCAUCACUGGUGUUCGGGUUGUCAUGCCAAUGGCACUGCCCGGUAGCUAAAUGCGGAAGAGAUAAGUGCUGAAAGCAUCUAAGCACGAAACUUGCCCCGAGAUGAGUUCUCCCUGAGACUUUAAGUCUCCUGAAGGAACGUUGAAGACGACGACGUUGAUAGGCCGGGUGUGUAAGCGCAGCGAUGCGUUGAGCUAACCGGUACUAAUGAACCGUGAGGCUUAACCUU
RNAcentral lists this ribosomal RNA (2906 nucleotides) under Escherichia coli. Its description in RNAcentral is "23S ribosomal RNA". It matches the Rfam family "Bacterial large subunit ribosomal RNA". The record is from RNAcentral. Lineage: Bacteria; Pseudomonadati; Pseudomonadota; Gammaproteobacteria; Enterobacterales; Enterobacteriaceae.